RNAcentral lists this unclassified non-coding RNA (1349 nucleotides) under uncultured Neocallimastigales. RNAcentral's name for it is "partial contains internal transcribed spacer 1, 5.8S ribosomal RNA, internal transcribed spacer 2, and large subunit ribosomal RNA". The stretch from base 593 to 1349 matches the Rfam family "Eukaryotic large subunit ribosomal RNA", at positions 1 to 617 of the family's 3401-position model. The record is from RNAcentral. Lineage: Eukaryota; Fungi; Neocallimastigomycota; Neocallimastigomycetes; Neocallimastigales.
AAAAUAAUCCUACCCUUUGUGAAUUUUGUUUGUUUGAAUAAUUUUUUUUUAAAAAAUUAUUGGAGUCUUUCCCUUUUAGUUUGCUUUUGAGUUUGUAAAAGAAUUCGAAAACAUCUAAAGGGGAUGGUCAAUAAUUUUUUUGAAAAAAGACAUUUUUUAAAAUUAAACUUUUUGUAUUCAUUUGUCUAAAAAUUAUUUUUAUAAUAUAAAAACAACUUUUGACAAUGGAUCUCUUGGUUCUCGCAACGAUGAAGAACGCAGCAAAAUGCGAUAAGUAGUGUGAAUUGCAGAAUACGUGAAUCAUCGAAUCUUUGAACGCAUAUUGCACUUUUUUAGUUUACUAAAAAAGUAUGUCUGUUUGAGUAUCAGUAAAAUAUUCUCAUAAAAAUCAUUGUGUAUUUUUAUGGUUAUGAGUGUUUUACAACGAUACAAGUUGUUUCACUUUAAAUUUUUUUUUAAUAUUGAAAUUUUUCUAAUUUUAAUAAUUAAAAUUGGAUAAAAUUUUCCCGUCAAAAGGAAUAACCUAAACAAUUUUAAAUGAUUAAUUUUAGCAAAAUUUUCGUAAAAAAGGAGAAUUUUUAUUAAAAUAACUUGAUCUCAAAUCAGAUAAGAGUACCCGCUGAACUUAAGCAUAUCAAUAAGCGGAGGAAAAGAAACUAACAAGGAUUCCCUUAGUAACGGCGAGUGAAGCGGGAAGAGCUCAAAUUUGAAACCUUCAAGGUUUUACCUUGACGAAUUGUAGUUUAAAGAAGUGUUUUCUGCUGAAGUUUUGGUAAAAGUUCUUUGGAAUAGGACAUCAUAGAGGGUGAGAAUCCCGUAUUUGACCAUUAUUUUCAGCUUUGUGAUACACUUUCAAAGAGUCGGAUUGUUUGGGAAUGCAGUCCAAAAUGGGUGGUAAAUUUCAUCUAAAGCUAAAUAUUGGCGAGAGACCGAUAGCGAACAAGUACCGUGAGGGAAAGAUGAAAAGAACUUUGAAAAGAGAGUUAAACAGUACGUGAAAUUGUCAAAAGGGAAGCGUUUGACACCAGUGUUGCUUUCUCGAAAAUCAAUUAAAAAUGGCUCGAUUUUGUAUUGCUGAGACCUUAAAAGCUCACUGUACAUUUUUCGUGUCUUUUUUAAUGCACUUUUCGUUUAACAAGUCAACAUCAGUUUCUUUUGUUGUAAAAGGGUCAUUGGAGGUGGCUUUCUUUUCGGAGAAAGUGUUUAUAGCCUUUGGCCUCUGCAAUCGGAGAGACUGAGGUCUGCAGCGUAGACUCUUCGGGGUUAGAUACAUUUGUGCUAAGUUAUAGCUUUUUAUAGACAACUUGUUGACUAUAAUUAGUCUUGUAGCUUACUCGCUUAUGCUAUUU